This is a long non-coding RNA of Oncorhynchus keta (chum salmon), 700 nucleotides long. RefSeq lists it as uncharacterized. The record is from RefSeq and is a predicted model, not a curated record. The transcript has 2 exons. NCBI's taxonomy places the organism in Eukaryota, Metazoa, Chordata, Actinopteri, Salmoniformes, Salmonidae.
AGCAGAGUGGAUAAACUGAUUCUGUAAAAGUACACUUUUAAGAUAUUUACAUUCCAGUAAACAAAUUACUGGGCCUCAUGUCACCUUAACAAAACAGGAAUUUGUGUGACAGUCAGGGAGGUAGCACUGUACAUAAACAAAACACAUAUUUGGUUAACAAACAUGUGUCCUUGUCAACAGCAAGCAAGACCAAAAACAUCUACCUAUACACAGUCUGGCAUUUGUCCAUUAAGUAUAACUUUCUACUGGUCAUUUGCUUCAGUCUUUGAGGGGUAAUUAUGUAACAUAUGAGCUCACUACGUUUAACAUACUGUAUUGUAGCUCACAAUGACAGGUCCAAUCUCUCCAGCCAUAUCUGGUACACUUGGUCAUGCAGGGUUGGAGACUGUAACACAGACUGAGAAAGUAACUGGAAUUUCCAGAUGAACAAAAAGGAGAGCAGUCGUUGAUAAUAUCAAUCAGAUCGAUCCAGUUUAAUACAAUCAUUCAGGGAGACACCUCCAGAACAGAAGCAUAGAAAAUGUCCAACGGGGCUCUUGGAGACAGAACCUUCCUAUUCUAAUCAGACAGUACCAAAUGUUCUCUAAAAUAUCAGACAGAGAGGCUUGGAGUCAAUACAAAGACAGUGACUUUGCCACUAUAAAGGUCAAUCAUAGGUCUAUGCACUAUAAAGGUCAAUCAUACAUCUAUGCACUAUAAA